GGGCAGGGCAGGUACCAUGUGCAGAAAGGAAAGAGCUGCGAGAUGGGGAGCAUGACCCCAGAGGCCUCCGGGGUACCCCACAUAAAGGGGGCUCAGGCAGGGCUGGGUCCCCCGAGAGAACCCCUGCAGCUUCAGAGCAUGAGCCCCCCUCCACCUGCCCCUGCUUGGUGCAGUCCAGCUGCUGGCAGAGAAGGUGGGGGUUGGGGAGGGACCCCUUGUCAAAGCCCAGCUUUUUCAUUCCAAGGAUGGAAAAACCAAGAUAUCAGCAAAGAUGGCACUUUAUCACCAAUAUUCUUUCAACAGCAUUCAUUCCACACAAGCUCCUAC
Molecule: long non-coding RNA, 327 nt
Filed under: Homo sapiens (human)
Lineage: Eukaryota; Metazoa; Chordata; Mammalia; Primates; Hominidae
Description: non-protein coding lnc-TMEM189-7:1
Source: RNAcentral